CCUACGGGAGGCAGCAGUGGGGAAUAUUGGACAAUGGGCGCAAGCCUGAUCCAGCCAUACCGCGUGGGUGAAGAAGGCCUUCGGGUUGUAAAGCCCUUUUGUUGGGAAAGAAAUCCAGCCGGCUAAUACCUGGUUGGGAUGACGGUACCCAAAGAAUAAGCACCGGCUAACUUCGUGCCAGCAGCCGCGGUAAUACGAAGGGUGCAAGCGUUACUCGGAAUUACUGGGCGUAAAGCGUGCGUAGGUGGUUAUUUAAGUCCGUUGUGAAAGCCCUGGGCUCAACCUGGGAACUGCAGUGGAUACUGGAUGACUAGAAUGUGGUAGAGGGUAGCGGAAUUCCUGGUGUAGCAGUGAAAUGCGUAGAGAUCAGGAGGAACAUCCAUGGCGAAGGCAGCUACCUGGACCAACAUUGACACUGAGGCACGAAAGCGUGGGGAGCAAACAGGAUUAGAUACCCUGGUAGUCCACGCCCUAAACGAUGCGACUGAUGUUGGUNNAUUGUCGCGCNUAUGAGACUACGUACGUAGUUACGCCGCCGGGACGGUACGGUCGCGACGACGAGAACGUAAACGUAAAGUAGUACGGCGUGAGACGUGACCGACGGACGACGACGAGGGAGGAGG
Molecule: ribosomal RNA, 623 nt
Filed under: uncultured bacterium
Lineage: Bacteria
Description: bacterial SSU rRNA
Rfam family: Bacterial small subunit ribosomal RNA (bases 1-537)
Source: RNAcentral